Molecule: ribosomal RNA, 292 nt
Filed under: uncultured bacterium
Lineage: Bacteria
Description: partial 16S ribosomal RNA
Rfam family: Bacterial small subunit ribosomal RNA
Source: RNAcentral
UUGUAAGCAGCCGCGGUAAUACAGAGGUCCCGAGCGUUGUUCGGAUUCACUGGGCGUAAAGGGUGCGUAGGUGGUGGGGUGUGUCGGAUGUGAAAUCUCGGAGCUCAACUCCGAAAUGGCAUUGGAAACUACCCUGCUAGAGGAUUGGAGGGGGGACUGGAAUGCUUGGUGUAGCAGUGAAAUGCGUAGAUAUCAAGCGGAACACCAGUGGCGAAGGCGAGUCCCUGGACAAUACCUGACACUGAGGCACGAAAGCUAGGGGAGCAAACAGGAUUAGAAACCCGGGUAGUCC